RNAcentral lists this ribosomal RNA (398 nucleotides) under uncultured bacterium. Its description in RNAcentral is "partial 16S ribosomal RNA". It matches the Rfam family "Bacterial small subunit ribosomal RNA", at positions 523 to 918 of the family's 1533-position model. The record is from RNAcentral.
AUACGUAUGGGGCAAGCGUUAUCCGGAUUUAUUGGGCGUAAAGCGCGCGUAGGCGGCUUGUUAAGUCAGGUGUGAAAUCCGGGGGCUCAACCCGCGGCUUGCACCUGAAACUGGCAGGCUUGAGUCUGGUAGAGGAAAGUGGAAUUCCUGGUGUAGCGGUAAAAUGCGCAGAUAUCAGGAGGAACACCAGUGGCGAAGGCGGCUUUCUGGGCCACGACUGACGCUGAGGCGCGAAAGCUAGGGGAGCGAACAGGAUUAGAUACCCUGGCAGUCCUAGCCGUAAACGAUGGGCACUAGGUGUGGGGGGUCAUCGACUCCCUCCGUGCCGAAGCUAACGCAUUAAGUGCCCCGCCUGGGGAGUACGGCCGCAAGGCUAAAACUUAAAGGAAUUGACGGGG